UAACCUGCCCAAGAGAUCGGGAUAACACCUGGAAACAGAUGCUAAUACCGGAUAACAACAGAUGAUGCCUAUCAACUGUUUAAAAGAUGGUUCUGCUAUCACUCUUGGAUGGACCUGCGGUGCAUUAGCUAGUUGGUAGGGUAACGGCCUACCAAGGCGAUGAUGCAUAGCCGAGUUGAGAGACUGAUCGGCCACAGUUGGGACUGAGACACCGGACCCAAACUCCGUACGGGAGGCAGCAGCG
Molecule: ribosomal RNA, 244 nt
Filed under: uncultured Lactobacillus sp.
Lineage: Bacteria; Bacillati; Bacillota; Bacilli; Lactobacillales; Lactobacillaceae
Description: partial 16S ribosomal RNA
Rfam family: Bacterial small subunit ribosomal RNA
Source: RNAcentral